RNAcentral lists this ribosomal RNA (476 nucleotides) under uncultured bacterium. Its description in RNAcentral is "SSU rRNA". It matches the Rfam family "Bacterial small subunit ribosomal RNA", at positions 26 to 518 of the family's 1533-position model. The record is from RNAcentral.
AGAACGAACGCUGGCGGCAUGCCUAACACAUGCAAGUCGAACGCUUUUGGGGCUUCGGUCCCAAAGGAGUGGCGCACGGGUGAGUAGCGCGUGGGAACCUGCCCUGGAGUGGGGGAUAACCGAGGGAAACUUCGGCUAAUACCGCAUGCGCCCGGUUUACCUCGAAAGGGGGAAACCGGGGAAAGAUUUAUCGCUCUAGGAGGGGCCCGCGUCGGAUUAGCUUGUUGGUAGGGUAACGGCCUACCAAGCCUGUGAUCCGUAGCUGGUCUGAGAGGAUGAUCAGCCACACUGGGACUGAGACACGGCCCAGACUCCUACGGGAGGCAGCAGUGGGGAAUAUUGGACAAUGGGCGCAAGCCUGAUCCAGCAAUGCCGCGUGAGUGAUGAAGGCCUUAGGGUUGUAAAGCUCUUUCGCCCGCGACGAUGAUGACGGUAGCGGGAGAAGAAGCCCCGGCUAACUUCGUGCCAGCAGCCGC